This 892-nucleotide ribosomal RNA is filed under the name uncultured bacterium. RNAcentral's name for it is "bacterial SSU rRNA". It matches the Rfam family "Bacterial small subunit ribosomal RNA", at positions 564 to 1467 of the family's 1533-position model. The record is from RNAcentral.
AGAGUUCGUAGGUGGUUGAAAAAGUUGGUGGUGAAAUCCCAGAGCUAAACUCUGGAACUGCCAUCAAAACUUUUCAGCUAGAGUUUGAUAGAGGAAAGCAGAAUUUCUAGUGUAGAGGUGAAAUUCGUAGAUAUUAGAAAGAAUACCAAUUGCGAAGGCAGCUUUCUGGAUCAUUACUGACACUGAGGAACGAAAGCAUGGGUAGCGAAGAGGAUUAGAUACCCUCGUAGUCCAUGCCGUAAACGAUGUGUGUUAGACGUUGGAAAUUUAUUUUCAGUGUCGCAGCGAAAGCGAUAAACACACCGCCUGGGGAGUACGACCGCAAGGUUAAAACUCAAAUGAAUUGACGGGGGCCCGCACAAGUAGUGGAGCAUGUGGUUUAAUUCGAAGAUACGCGCAGAACCUUACCAACACUUGACAUGUUCGUCGCGACUUUAAGAGAUUAAAGUUUUCGGUUCGGCCGGACGAAACACAGGUGCUGCAUGGCUGUCGUCAGCUCGUGUCGUGAGAUGUUGGGUUAAGUCCCGCAACGAGCGCAACCCUCACUUUUAGUUGCCAUCAUUAAGUUGGGCACUCUGAAAGAACUGCCAGUGAUAAGCUGGAGGAAGGUGGGGAUGACGUCAAGUCCUCAUGGCCCUUACGUGUUGGGCUACACACGUGCUACAAUGGUAUCUACAACAGGAAGCAAAACAGCGAUGUUAAGCAAAUCCUUAAAAGAUACCUCAGUUCGGAUUGCACUCUGCAACUCGAGUGCAUGAAGCUGGAAUUACUAGUAAUCGUGGAUCAGCGUGCCACGGUGAAUGCGUUCCCGGGUCUUGUACACACCGCCCGUCACACCAUGGGAGUUGGUUCUACCUUAAGGCAAGGUUUCAAACCCUUGACCACGGUAUAG